RNAcentral lists this transfer RNA (73 nucleotides) under Stegodyphus mimosarum. It matches the Rfam family "tRNA". From Rfam's summary of the family: Transfer RNA (tRNA) molecules are approximately 80 nucleotides in length. Their secondary structure includes four short double-helical elements and three loops (D, anti-codon, and T loops). Further hydrogen bonds mediate the characteristic L-shaped molecular structure. tRNAs have two regions of fundamental functional importance: the anti-codon, which is responsible for specific mRNA codon recognition, and the 3' end, to which the tRNAs corresponding amino acid is attached (by aminoacyl-tRNA synthetases). tRNAs cope with the degeneracy of the genetic code in two manners: having more than one tRNA (with a specific anti-codon) for a particular amino acid; and 'wobble' base-pairing, i.e. permitting non-standard base-pairing at the 3rd anti-codon position. The record is from Rfam by way of RNAcentral. Lineage: Eukaryota; Metazoa; Arthropoda; Arachnida; Araneae; Eresidae.
GCCUUCGUGGUGUAGUGGUCAGCACGCUCGGCGCGUAUUCGAGAGGUCCGUGGUUCGAAUCCCGCCGAAGGCA